CGACGAUGACCAUAAAUAGUGAUG
Molecule: non-coding RNA, 24 nt
Filed under: Arabidopsis thaliana (thale cress)
Lineage: Eukaryota; Viridiplantae; Streptophyta; Magnoliopsida; Brassicales; Brassicaceae
Source: RNAcentral